Molecule: ribosomal RNA, 253 nt
Filed under: uncultured bacterium
Lineage: Bacteria
Description: partial 16S ribosomal RNA
Rfam family: Bacterial small subunit ribosomal RNA
Source: RNAcentral
UACGUAGGGUGCGAGCGUUAAUCGGAAUUACAGGGCGUAAAGCGUGCGCAGGCGGUUUGUUAAGACAGAUGUGAAAUCCCCGGGCUUAACCUGGGAACUGCAUUUGUGACUGGCAAGCUAGAGUAUGGCAGAGGGGGGUAGAAUUCCACGUGUAGCAGUGAAAUGCGUAGAGAUGUGGAGGAAUACCGAUGGCGAAGGCAGCCCCCUGGGCCAAUACUGACGCUCAUGCACGAAAGCGUGGGGAGCAAACAGG